CCGGAGUUGACUAUCCAGAUCGCCAUUUCAAUCCUUUCUAGCAGAAAACACUGCAAAAUUCUCUCCUAAUUCAAGAAAAUAUGUGUAGAGACAAAAGGGUCUCGAUCUUCAUUGCCUACAUAACCCUUCUCAGCUUUGUCUCAAAGGGUAUUCAUGCAUCUGAACCAGAAUUCGGGUCGACCCGUGUUGUGUUUCAGACAAAUUAUGGAGAUAUUGAAUUUGGUUUCUACCCUAGUGUUGCACCAAAGACAGUUGAGCAUAUCUUCAAGCUAGUGCGCUUGGGAGGCUACAAUACCAAUCACUUCUUUCGGGUAGAUAAGGGUUUUGUUGCUCAAGUGGCUGAUGUUGCUGGAGGCAGGAGUGCACCUAUGAAUGAAGAACAGAGGGCGGUAGCUGAAAAAAAUGUUGUUGGUGAAUUUAGUGAAGUGAAACAUGUUAGAGGAAUCCUUUCAAUGGGAAGGCAUGCUGAUCCUGACAGUGGUUCCUCAUCAUUUUCAAUGCUCCUUGGAGAUGCACCUCAUCUUGAUGGCACGUAUGCAAUAUUUGGCAAAGUUACGAAAGGAGAUGAAACAUUGAGAAAGCUUGAGCAGUUACCUACUAGACGUGAAGGGAUCUUUGUAAUGUUUCUUCCAGAUUAAAGCUUGUCAUUUUACUGAAUAGUCUUUGUUCUCAUUAUUCAGCCGACUGAACGCAUCACAAUUCACUCAACAUAUUAUUAUGACACCAAGAUGGAAACUUGUGAAGACGAGAGGUCGUCGUUAAAAAGAAGACUUUCUGCAGCAUCAGUUGAAAUAGAAAAACAGAGGAUGAAAUGCUUUCCUUGAUCAAGUGGGAAAA
Solanum verrucosum is the source of this 837-nucleotide RNA transcript. It is a transcript of the gene named peptidyl-prolyl cis-trans isomerase CYP23, with no coding region annotated. The transcript is spliced from 8 exons. The record is from RefSeq and is a predicted model, not a curated record. Lineage: Eukaryota; Viridiplantae; Streptophyta; Magnoliopsida; Solanales; Solanaceae.